Helicoverpa armigera (cotton bollworm) is the source of this 473-nucleotide RNA transcript. RefSeq lists it as uncharacterized. The transcript is spliced from 2 exons. The record is from RefSeq and is a predicted model, not a curated record. Lineage: Eukaryota; Metazoa; Arthropoda; Insecta; Lepidoptera; Noctuidae.
UUGGACAGGUUAAACUGUCAUCGAAGGUAACAGUCACUUUUUUAUCAAAAUACAAAUUCGCCAUGUUUCCAAAGUUUUAAAUAACAUUUAUAAUUUAAACUACAUCCAAAGUCAUCAUGUACAACCUUUAUAAAGCCCAUUCAAGCAUCAGGAGGGCUACAAAUCUUGGGCAAAGGUAUACUACCCAGCCUGGGUGGGGUGGCAACCAGAACCGACCGAAUCAACCUCCCAAUCCGGCACAACAACCCAACCCGUUUCAUCCCAACCCUUACGGGAGACAAGACCAGGCUGGCCGCCAAUCCCUGGACUCUAACCCAAGCAAUCCGCAGAGACAGACCCAGCGCAGUCAGCAAAACCCGGGCCAGAGAAGCAACCCACAGCGUCGUGGCUACUAAAAUAAGAACUAAAUAUUACAACAUUGAAUCAGUCUACCAAACAGUAAGCAUGAGCGAAUAAAAAGUGUAACUUUAUAA